AUUGAACGCUGGCGGCAUGCCUUACACAUGCAAGUCGAACGGCAGCGGGGGAGAAGCUUGCUUUUCCUGCCGGCGAGUGGCGAACGGGUGAGUAAUACAUCGGAACGUGCCCUGUAGUGGGGGGUAACUAGUCGAAAGAUUAGCUAAUACCGCAUACGACCUGAGGGUGAAAGUGGGGGACCGCAAGGCCUCAUGCUAUAGGAGCGGCCGAUGUCUGAUUAGCUAGUUGGUGGGGUAAAGGCCUACCAAGGCGACGAUCAGUAGCUGGUCUGAGAGGACGAUCAGCCACAUUGGGACUGAGACACGGCCCAGACUCCUACGGGAGGCAGCAGUGGGGAAUUUUGGACAAUGGGCGAAAGCCUGAUCCAGCAAUGCCGCGUGUGUGAAGAAGGCCUUCGGGUUGUAAAGCACUUUUGUCCGGAAAGAAAUGGCUCUGGUUAAUACCUGGGGUCGAUGACGGUACCGGAAGAAUAAGGACCGGCUAACUACGUGCCAGCCGCCGCAGUAA
Molecule: ribosomal RNA, 508 nt
Filed under: uncultured bacterium
Lineage: Bacteria
Description: partial 16S ribosomal RNA
Rfam family: Bacterial small subunit ribosomal RNA
Source: RNAcentral